UUUUGAAGUCAGGGCGUACUGGCAGCUUCUUGUUGAAGUUAUCUGCAAAGAAACGAGUGAGGAAUUAAUACAAGUAUAGGGAGUUCAGGUUAAAAGAGUGUGGGCUUCGGUCCUAUUACCUUGGGACGCCAUUAAGUCGUGAGUGACGAAGUGUAUGUUUUUCCGAAUGAGCCUGUGAUAUGACCUCUUCUUCUGAGGCAGCUGAUAAAUAACACAAAUAAUGUCGAAGUCCUCUGUCGAUAGCUCGCACCGAGGGAGGGAACCUGCGAAAAGAAACAUCUGUUAAACACAAGCCCGGCCGAAGAGAAACAAAAUAUCAACUACUAUACUCACUAAGUGUUGAAAACUUCGCCGGGACUGUAAGAGCCGCCAGGGGGUCCCCCUCCAUUGUGUCCCAUCGCCCCGCUGCCCAGCACCAAGAGCUCUUUCAUUCCUUGAUGGAGCUCGGCAGAUCGAUCACAAAUGGAGUGUGGGAACCCCAUGACGUCAGGUAGUACCAGCCCCGGGUCUUAUCCCCCCCGGCAGUAACCUUGGGUAUGUAAAGAGUUUGGAAAACGGAAAGGGGCAUCUCCACUCCUAACGACGCCUCUUUCCACAACAUCCAGGAGCCCACCAUCUGGCUCCAGGAGUUCGGAUUGAGCUGCGUCGGGGCUAGCCCGUAAGACCUAAGCACCAACCUAAAGAACGGGUGAAUAGGCAGCCUAAGUCCGGCCCUAAGGAUCGCCUCACUAAUGGCCACGCAGCCCGGCCUUGGGUAACAAGCUCUCUCUUCUGGCCCUGGGAGAAUCAGAUCCACACUGUCCGGGAUCCUAUAUUCUGUCCUAAGUCUACCAAGGUCGGCCUCCCUCAACUUUGAUGAGUAGUCCGACA
Molecule: long non-coding RNA, 870 nt
Filed under: Olea europaea subsp. europaea
Lineage: Eukaryota; Viridiplantae; Streptophyta; Magnoliopsida; Lamiales; Oleaceae
Source: RNAcentral